AGCGGCUAGCUGGGGACCUGCGGGAGUGACGGGCGCGGGCGCAGGGGAGCGCAGCGACAGCGGGACGGUCCAGGCAGCGGAGAGCGCCAUGGCGGAGUGCGCAGCUUUAGCUUCACGUUACAGAACAGUGUUGGGAAUCCUGCUCACCUGAGAAGCUGCAGGAAAAAGCUCUAGGAGUGCUUCUAAUUGCUGCUGACCCUGG
RNAcentral lists this long non-coding RNA (202 nucleotides) under Chelonoidis abingdonii (Abingdon island giant tortoise). RNAcentral's name for it is "lncRNA (ENSCABG00000020121.1)". Lineage: Eukaryota; Metazoa; Chordata; Testudines; Testudinidae. The record is from RNAcentral.